CCUACGGGGCGCAGCAGUGAGGGAUAUUGGUCAAUGGGGGAAACCCUGAACCAGCAAAGCAGCGUGAGGGAAGACGGUUCUCGGAUUGUAAAACUCUGUCUUCUGUGAAGUUAAUGACGGUAGCAGAGGGGGAAGCUACGGCUAACUACGUGCCAGCAGCCGCGGUAAUACGUAGGGAGCAAGCGUUGUCCGGAUUUACUGGGUGUAAAGGGUGCGUAGGCGGCUUUGCAAGUCAGAAGUGAAAUCCAUGGGGUUAACCCAUGAACUGCUUUUGAAACUGCAGCGCUUGAGUGGAGGAGAGGUAGGUGGAAUUCCCGGUGGAGCGGUGAAAUGCGUAGAGAUCGGGAGGAACACCAGUGGCGAAGGCGUCCUACUGGGCUCUAACUGACGCUGAGGCACGAAAGCGUGGGUAGCAAACAGGAUUAGAUACCCCUGUAGUC
RNAcentral lists this ribosomal RNA (440 nucleotides) under uncultured bacterium. Its description in RNAcentral is "partial 16S ribosomal RNA". It matches the Rfam family "Bacterial small subunit ribosomal RNA", at positions 338 to 795 of the family's 1533-position model. The record is from RNAcentral.